CUUCUGUGCAUCCUCGCGACUAAUGACAACCCUAACCCAAACCGGGUAAAGCCUCUCAUUAGCCGCGCGAACCUCUGCAACGAAGAUCAUUCAUAGCAACAAUACAAUAGUUUAGGGUGAAUUGCUGCCGUCUGGUUGAAAAAAGGGGCCGUUAAGGCCCCUUUCU
Molecule: small RNA, 166 nt
Filed under: Enterobacter kobei
Lineage: Bacteria; Pseudomonadati; Pseudomonadota; Gammaproteobacteria; Enterobacterales; Enterobacteriaceae
Description: SraG RNA
Rfam family: SraG RNA
About the family: This RNA was discovered in E. coli during a large scale screen. Evidence was found for specific cleavage of this RNA.
Source: RNAcentral